Molecule: long non-coding RNA, 482 nt
Organism: Alnus glutinosa
Lineage: Eukaryota; Viridiplantae; Streptophyta; Magnoliopsida; Fagales; Betulaceae
Exons: 3
Source: RefSeq, a predicted model, not a curated record
GAAGGAAAUUAGGAUUGUAAGAUAUUUGAAGAAGAGAAACCUAAGGACCUUCAACAAAACCAUCAAGAACGAGAAAGAAAGAAAAGUAAAAGAGACGAACAAAAAAAAAAGGUAUCUUGAUUGCCAUAAUACUUUAUUGGCACCUUAGGGGUGGCGGUGCGGAGCUGAAGAAGAAGAAAAUGGAAGAAGAAGAGAAGGGCGGCGGCAACAUGAAUCUAAUUCAACUGGGAAAAAAAGAGAAAGAAUAAGUUAAUCAUGUCUUGUGGGGGUGACCCGCCACCCAACCCGCUAAACUGAGUUAAACGGGUUGACCCGUUUAUGACCCAAACCCGUUUAAAGUAGACCAAAAUCCACUAAUUUCAUGUCGGCUCGUAUCGGGUUGUCGGGUUAUGUCUAAAUUGUUAGCCCUAGAAUUAAUGGUCCUACGAAAGAAACGGUUUUGGCUCAUGUUAAAGAUCAAUAAAAUGGUCAAGUUCGUCUCA